Molecule: non-coding RNA, 420 nt
Organism: Struthio camelus australis
Lineage: Eukaryota; Metazoa; Chordata; Aves; Struthioniformes; Struthionidae
Source: RefSeq, a predicted model, not a curated record
CUCCCUUCUCCUGCCAGACUGACUUGCACCUUCUCGAUAAUUUCUCUUCCCCUCGUUUUUUUAUACUCUUCUCCCUGCUUCCGAACCCUGUGUCUGUGUGUUUUAAUACUAUCACAACCUCUGCUAAAAAUAGAUCUUUUUAUAUACCCUUCCUCCUCUUUGACCCCAUCCAACACCCCUUGUUAAGGAACUCAGACGCCUAGCGUGGCCCUCCCCAGCGUGCCCAGUGUUUGUGGACGGAGAGCACCCCGUUUUUGAAAAGGUCAAGUUUUCUUCAGAUUGAGACAGAAUUGUGGCUCAUGGACAUCUGAUGUUGUGAUAGGGCAUACUCGACAUCUUUAGAUUUCUUCCCUGAGACAACAGAUUGACUGCAAAAACUGACAGACCGCAGCGUUUUUUUUAAAUAUCCCUGGUCUUCUC